This 253-nucleotide ribosomal RNA is filed under the name uncultured bacterium. RNAcentral's name for it is "partial 16S ribosomal RNA". It matches the Rfam family "Bacterial small subunit ribosomal RNA", at positions 524 to 776 of the family's 1533-position model. The record is from RNAcentral.
UACGAAGGGUGCAAGCGUUGUUCGGAUUUAUUGGGUUUAAAGGGUGCGUAGGUGGGUCUGUAAGUCAGUGGUGAAAUCUCCGAGCUUAACUCGGAAACUGCCAUUGAUACUAUAGGUCUUGAAUUAUCUGGAGGUAAGCGGAAUAUGUCAUGUAGCGGUGAAAUGCUUAGAUAUGACAUAGAACACCAAUUGCGAAGGCAGCUUACUACGGAUUUAUUGACACUGAGGCACGAAAGCGUGGGGAUCAAACAGG